This 497-nucleotide ribosomal RNA is filed under the name uncultured bacterium. RNAcentral describes it as "partial 16S ribosomal RNA". It matches the Rfam family "Bacterial small subunit ribosomal RNA", at positions 28 to 507 of the family's 1533-position model. The record is from RNAcentral.
GAUGAACGCUGGCGGCGUGCCUAAUACAUGCAAGUCGAGCGAACAGACGAGGAGCUUGCUCCUCUGACGUUAGCGGCGGACGGGUGAGUAACACGUGGAUAACCUACCUAUAAGACUGGGGUAACUUCGGGAAACCGGAGCUAAUACCGGAUAAUAUAUUGAACCGCAUGGUUCAAUAGUGAAAGACGGUUUUGCUUUCACUUAUAGAUGGAUCCGCGCCGCAUUAGCUAGUUGGUAAGGUAACGGCUUACCAAGGCAACGAUGCGUAGCCGACCUGAGAGGGUGAUCGGCCACACUGGAACUGAGACACGGUCCAGACUCCUACGGGAGGCAGCAGUAGGGAAUCUUCCGCAAUGGGCGAAAGCCUGACGGAGCAACGCCGCGUGAGUGAUGAAGGUCUUCGGAUCGUAAAACUCUGUUAUUAGGGAAGAACAAAUGUGUAAGUAACUAUGAACGUCUUGACGGUACCUAAUCAGAAAGCCACGGCUAACUACGUG